GAUGAAGAACGUAGCGAAAUGCGAUACGUAAUGUGAAUUGCAGAAUUCAGUGAAUCAUCGAGUCUUUGAACGCACAUUGCGCCCGCCAGUAUUCUGGCGGGCAUGCCUGUCCGAGCGUCAUUUCAACCCUCGGGCCCCCCUCUGCGGGCGGCCCGGCGUUGGGGCUCAGGCGCCGUCUCUGCUCGGCGCCUGUCCCCUAAAUGCAGUGGCGGCCUCGCCGCUGCCUCCUCCGCGUAGUAGCACAAACCUCGCGGCUGGAAGGCGGCGCGGCCACGCCGUAAAACCCCCCAACUUUACCAAGGUUGACCUCGGAUCAGGUAGGAAUACCCGCUGAACUUAAGCAUAUCAAUAAGCGGAGGA
This 360-nucleotide unclassified non-coding RNA is filed under the name soil metagenome. RNAcentral's name for it is "partial contains 5.8S ribosomal RNA, internal transcribed spacer 2, and large subunit ribosomal RNA". The stretch from base 1 to 120 matches the Rfam family "5.8S ribosomal RNA", at positions 35 to 154 of the family's 154-position model. The record is from RNAcentral.